ACCGGAGCACUGAAGAAGACGCCGAAUCUGACCGGAGCACUGAAGAAGACGACUGAGGCCUCGGCCGGAUCUGACCGGAGCACUGAAGAAGACGACAGAGCUUUUGAUUUGUAUGUAUGUAUAUAUACAUGUAUAUACCAAAAGAGAAGAUGGAAGAGAGAAAUAGAAGGUGGGGAAAAUAUGAUUAUAAAUCCUGUUAAUGGUAAUGGUG
This 211-nucleotide long non-coding RNA is filed under the name Panax ginseng (ginseng). Its description in RNAcentral is "long non-coding RNA (PGIN_LNC017867)". Lineage: Eukaryota; Viridiplantae; Streptophyta; Magnoliopsida; Apiales; Araliaceae. The record is from RNAcentral.